UCAAUAAGCGGAGGAAAAGAAACCAACCGGGAUUGCCUUAGUAACGGCGAGUGAAGCGGCAAAAGCUCAAAUUUGAAAUCUGGUACCUUCGGUGCCCGAGUUGUAAUUUGGAGAGGGCAACUUUGGGGCCGUUCCUUGUCUAUGUUCCUUGGAACAGGACGUCAUAGAGGGUGAGAAUCCCGUGUGGCGAGGAGUGCGGUUCUAUGUAAAGUGCCUUCGAAGAGUCGAGUUGUUUGGGAAUGCAGCUCUAAGUGGGUGGUAAAUUCCAUCUAAAGCUAAAUAUUGGCGAGAGACCGAUAGCGAACAAGUACAGUGAUGGAAAGAUGAAAAGAACUUUGAAAAGAGAGUGAAAAAGUACGUGAAAUUGUUGAAAGGGAAGGGCAUUUGAUCAGACAUGGUGUUUUGUGCCCUCUGCUCCUUGUGGGUAGGGGAAUCUCGCAUUUCACUGGGCCAGCAUCAGUUUUGGUGGCAGG
RNAcentral lists this ribosomal RNA (473 nucleotides) under Saccharomyces paradoxus. Its description in RNAcentral is "LSU rRNA". It matches the Rfam family "Eukaryotic large subunit ribosomal RNA", at positions 43 to 513 of the family's 3401-position model. The record is from RNAcentral. Lineage: Eukaryota; Fungi; Ascomycota; Saccharomycetes; Saccharomycetales; Saccharomycetaceae.